CGGCGGACGGGUGAGUAACACGUGGGUAACCUGCCCAUAAGACUGGGAUAACUCCGGGAAACCGGGGCUAAUACCGGAUAACAUUUUGAACCGCAUGGUUCGAAAUUGAAAGGCGGCUUCGGCUGUCACUUAUGGAUGGACCCGCGUCGCAUUAGCUAGUUGGUGAGGUAACGGCUCACCAAGGCAACGAUGCGUAGCCGACCUGAGAGGGUGAUCGGCCGCACUGGGACUGAGACACGGCCCAGACUCCUACGGGAGGCAGCAGGG
This 267-nucleotide ribosomal RNA is filed under the name uncultured Bacillus sp. RNAcentral describes it as "partial 16S ribosomal RNA". It matches the Rfam family "Bacterial small subunit ribosomal RNA", at positions 96 to 354 of the family's 1533-position model. Lineage: Bacteria; Bacillati; Bacillota; Bacilli; Caryophanales; Bacillaceae. The record is from RNAcentral.